AAGCUCGUAGUUGAAUUUCGGGAUUAGUACGUCGGUCGUGCCUUAGGUACGUACUGGUGUUACUGGUUCCUACCUUCUGAUGAACCAUCAUGUCAUUAAUUGGUGUGGUGGGGAAUCAGGACUGUUACUUUGAAAAAAUUAAGAGUGUUUAAAGCAGGCUCGCGCUUGAAUACAUUAGCAUGGAAUAAUGAAAUAGGACGUUGAUCCUAUUUUGUUGGUUUCUAGGAUUGACGUAAUGAUUAAUAGGGAUAGUUGGG
This 257-nucleotide ribosomal RNA is filed under the name uncultured Glomus. RNAcentral's name for it is "partial 18S ribosomal RNA". It matches the Rfam family "Eukaryotic small subunit ribosomal RNA", at positions 624 to 886 of the family's 1831-position model. Lineage: Eukaryota; Fungi; Glomeromycota; Glomeromycetes; Glomerales; Glomeraceae. The record is from RNAcentral.